This 46-nucleotide non-coding RNA is filed under the name Schistosoma margrebowiei. The record is from RNAcentral. Lineage: Eukaryota; Metazoa; Platyhelminthes; Trematoda; Strigeidida; Schistosomatidae.
AUCCAGCUGAAAUGUUCUAAAACAGGACGAAACGAGCGUCCGGGAU